CGUGGCGAACGGGUGCGUAACACGUGGACAACUUUCCUGGUGGUGGGGAAUAACCCCGCGAAAGCGGGGCUAAUACCGCAUAACAUUGCGAGGGCACAUGCUUUUGCAAUCAAACCCGCAAGGGGCCGCUAGAGGGGUCCGCGGCCGAUUAGCUAGUUGGUGAGGUAAUGGCUCACCAAGGCGAUGAUCGGUAGCCGGUCUGAGAGGAUGGCCGGCCACACUGGAACUGAGACACGGUCCAGACUCCUACGGGAGGCAGCAGUGGGGAAUCUUGCGCAAUGGGCGAAAGCCUGACGCAGCAACGCCGCGUGGGGGAUGAAGCUUCUCGGAGUGUAAACCCCUUUCGACCCGGACGAAUGCCCGCAAGGGCUUGACGGUACGGGUAUAAGAAGCCCCGGCUAACUACGUGCCAGCAGCCGCGGUAAAACGUAGGGGGCCAGCGUUGCUCGGAAUUACUGGGCGUAAAGGGUCCGUAGGCGGUGUGACAAGUCGGGAGUGAAAUCUCUGGGCUUAACUCAGAGGCUGCUUUCGAAACUGCCGUGCUCGAGUGCGGGAGAGGCCAGUGGAAUUGCAGGUGUAGCGGUGAAAUGCGUAGAUAUCUGCAGGAACACCCGUGGCGAAGGCGGCUGGCUGGACCGCAACUGACGCUGAGGAACGAAAGCUAGGGGAGCAAACAGGAUUAGAUACCCUGGUAGUCCUAGCCCUAAACCAUCAGGACUUGGGGUGGCUCGCGUAGGCGGGUCGUCCCGUAGCUAACGCGUUAAGUCCUGCGCCUGGGGAGUACGGUCGCAAGACUGAAACUCAAAGGAAUUGACGGGGGCCCGCACAAGCGGUGGAACAUGUGGUUCAAUUCGA
This 855-nucleotide ribosomal RNA is filed under the name uncultured bacterium. RNAcentral's name for it is "bacterial SSU rRNA". It matches the Rfam family "Bacterial small subunit ribosomal RNA", at positions 94 to 954 of the family's 1533-position model. The record is from RNAcentral.